Molecule: unclassified non-coding RNA, 783 nt
Filed under: Leishmania donovani
Lineage: Eukaryota; Euglenozoa; Kinetoplastea; Trypanosomatida; Trypanosomatidae
Description: gene:LdHU3.36.5170(CDS-product:NUDIX_hydrolase_3_ putative)
Source: RNAcentral
AGUCUCAGUCCUAGAUGUAAACGCUUUUAAGCACCUUCACAGCGCCCUAUCCAGCGUCAGUCCCCUUUUGUUUGGACAGCAGCACACACCAUGAAGCAUACCUACCUCAGAACGGGGCUUGAAGUCGUCAGUGGGCUCAAAUUCACACGACUUUGUUCUCUCUCAUACACCGCCAGUGACGAUGGUGCGCAGCCAGGAAAUAAAUGGGAAAUGGUGCAGAGGACCACCCGAUCCACACCUGUGAGCGCCUUUCAACGCUCGCCGGCACCGAUCCCAGUGGACGCGGUCGAAAUCUGUGCCGUGGUACGGAGAAGCAGCGAGAGAUUCAUUGUUGUUGUUGCACAGUAUCGUCCACCAGUGGAUUCAGUUUGCCUGGAGUUUCCAGCCGGUUUGGUGGACGACAACGAAAACGCUAGUCAAGCUGCCAUUCGUGAGAUGCACGAGGAAACCGGCUUUGUUGUGGAUGAAGCUGGAAUCGUGUCUAUUUCACCGCCACUCUCCACGGAGCCCGGCCUCACUGACUCAUGUUGCGUUUUGGUGCGUCUCGACGUUGACGGGGAGCGCGCAGAAAAUCAGAAACCAAAGCAGCACCUGGAUGAUGGGGAAGACAUUGAGGUUCUCAUGAUUCCUAUUUCUCAGCCCAAGAACGCGUUAAGUGCACUUUCGGAUGUGGUCGAACGAUACGCGGAAAAGGGCCAGCGCGCGAUUGUAGACGCAAAGCUAUACACAUUCAUGGAAGCUCUGGCGUGGAGCGUAUAACACACUUUUAUCACGUGCAGAUCC